GGAGCAUGUGGUUUUAAUUCGAUGCAACGCGAAGAACCUUACCUACUCUUGACAUCCAGAGAAGCUUGAAGAGAUUCGAGUGUGCCUUCGGGAACUCUGAGACAGGUGCUGCAUGGCUGUCGUCAGCUCGUGUUGUGAAAUGUUGGGUUAAGUCCCGCAACGAGCGCAACCCUUAUCCUUGUUUGCCAGCACUUCGGGUGGGAACUCCAGGGAGACUGCCGGUGAUAAACCGGAGGAAGGUGGGGACGACGUCAAGUCAUCAUGGCCCUUACGNGGAGGGCUACACACGUGCUACAAUGGCAUAUACAGAGGGCAGCAAGACCGCGAGGUGGAGCGAAUCCCAGAAAGUAUGUCGUAGUCCGGAUCGGAGUCUGCAACUCGACUCCGUGAAGUCGGAAUCGCUAGUAAUCGUGGAUCAGAAUGCCACGGUGAAUACGUUCCCGGGCCUUGUACACACCGCCCGUCACACCAUGGGAGUGGGCUGCACCAGAAGUAGAUAGCUUAACCUUCGGGAGGGCGUUUACCACGGUGUGGUUCAUGACUGGGGUGAAGUCGUAACAAGGUAACCG
RNAcentral lists this ribosomal RNA (569 nucleotides) under uncultured bacterium. Its description in RNAcentral is "bacterial SSU rRNA". It matches the Rfam family "Bacterial small subunit ribosomal RNA", at positions 934 to 1502 of the family's 1533-position model. The record is from RNAcentral.